CGGCGGGUGUGAGUCCCGUCCCGGUAGGUACCGGAGCGCCGGGUAGCAGGCCCCAGUUCGUCGGAGAGAUCUGGCGGGUCGAGCGGGGUGUCGAGAGCCUCUUUGGAGGGAGCAACCGUGCGGGCCGUAGCGUGA
Molecule: non-coding RNA, 135 nt
Organism: Nocardioides sp.
Lineage: Bacteria; Bacillati; Actinomycetota; Actinomycetes; Propionibacteriales; Nocardioidaceae
Source: Rfam